UGUCAUGGAGCCCGCGCUGCUGCCCACAGGCAGUGCACGGGAUAAUUGGGAAGCUGGUUCAAUGCCAGCGCUGCCCCCGCAACGGUAAGCGAUACAGAUUGUCAUUGAUCUGUCCCGCAAGCCCGAUACCAGCCUGACGACGAGUUACUAC
Molecule: non-coding RNA, 151 nt
Filed under: Gammaproteobacteria bacterium
Lineage: Bacteria; Pseudomonadati; Pseudomonadota; Gammaproteobacteria
Source: RNAcentral